AAGUUGUUGCAGUUAAAAAGCUCGUACUUGGAUUUCUGGUUAAAGGUUAGAGCGCACCUGUGUGAGGCUCGAGUCUUUUGCCAUCCUUCUGUUAACCUUUCAUGACAUUCAUUUGUCGGUUUGGGGCUCAGAUAUUUUACCUUGAGAAAAUUAGAGUGUUUCAGGCAGGCUUGUGCCCGGAUACAUUAGCAUGGAAUAAUAGAACAGGACUUUAGCCUCUUCUGUUGGUCUGAGGGGUUGGAGUAAUGAUUAAUAGGGAUAGUUGGGGGCAUUAGUACUUAACUGUUAGAGGUGAAAUUCUCGGAUUUGUUAAAGACUAACUUAUGCGAAAGCAUUUGCCAAGGAUGUUUUCAUUAAUCAAGAACGAAAGUUAGGGGAUCAAAGACGAUCAGAUACCGUCCUAGUCUUAACCAUAAACUAUGCCGACUCGGGAUCGGGGGCGAGAGUUAACUGCCUUCCGCACCGGUAUGAGAAAUCCAAGUCUUGGGGUUCUGGGGGGAGUAUGGUCGCAAGGCUGAAACUUAAAGGAAUUGACGGAAGGGCACCACCAGGCGGGGAGCUUGCGGUCAAUUUGACCCAACCCGGGGAAACUUACCAGGCCCGAACAUAUUGGAGGAUUGGCCGAAUUGAUAGCCCUUUCUUGAU
RNAcentral lists this ribosomal RNA (645 nucleotides) under uncultured marine eukaryote. RNAcentral describes it as "SSU rRNA". It matches the Rfam family "Eukaryotic small subunit ribosomal RNA", at positions 607 to 1266 of the family's 1831-position model. The record is from RNAcentral.